Molecule: ribosomal RNA, 279 nt
Filed under: uncultured Bifidobacteriales bacterium
Lineage: Bacteria; Bacillati; Actinomycetota; Actinomycetes; Bifidobacteriales
Description: partial 16S ribosomal RNA
Rfam family: Bacterial small subunit ribosomal RNA
Source: RNAcentral
UACGUAGGGCGCAAGCGUUAUCCGGAAUUAUUGGGCGUAAAGAGCUUGUAGGCGGUUCGUCGCGUCUGGUGUGAAAGCCCAUCGCUUAACGGUGGGUCUGCGCCGGGUACGGGCGGGCUAGAGUGCAGUAGGGGAGACUGGAAUUCCCGGUGUAACGGUGGAAUGUGUAGAUAUCGGGAAGAACACCAAUGGCGAAGGCAGGUCUCUGGGCUGUUACUGACGCUGAGAAGCGAAAGCGUGGGGAGCGAACAGGAUUAGAUACCCUGGUAGUCAAGGGCG